RNAcentral lists this transfer RNA (72 nucleotides) under Bos taurus (domestic cattle). It matches the Rfam family "tRNA". Rfam says of the family: Transfer RNA (tRNA) molecules are approximately 80 nucleotides in length. Their secondary structure includes four short double-helical elements and three loops (D, anti-codon, and T loops). Lineage: Eukaryota; Metazoa; Chordata; Mammalia; Artiodactyla; Bovidae. The record is from Rfam by way of RNAcentral. RNAcentral also lists the same sequence under 2 other names.
UCCCCAGUGGCUCAGAUGGUAAAGAAUCUGCCUUCAAUGCAGGAGACCUGGGUUUGAUCCCUGGUUGGGGAA